AAGAUUGAAUCAGAGCUGCAUGGAUCAGCAUGGAUAAAUCACAAACACGUAACAUGCUAUAAAGAAAAGCAAGUUUUAGAAGGAUUCCAUUAAUAUACCAUUUGUAUAAAUCAUGAGAGUAGACAAGCCAGUGAUCCAUAUUAUUUACGGAGACGUGUAUCAUGCAAGAGCACACAAACCCACACAGGCUUGGGCAUGACAGACACCAGACUCAGAAGUGCAGCAGCCUUGGGCCAGGGGCAGGGAUUGGGACUGGGCCAAGUUUAUCAGGGCUUCACCUGAAACUAUAAUGUUUAAUUUCAUAACCUGAUUGCUGGGUACCUGCGGUUCAUUGUGUUAUUAGUCACAUGGGUUAUGUCCAAAAUAUUUUAUUUUACAAGAUCUGAUAUCCGAAGAGAACCUAAGAGGUGUGUUUAUCCAGGAUUCCUCUGCAGUCAGAGAAUCAUAUUGGAGGCUCUAUUUCUUCACUUGAUUUGUCUUCAAGUUGCAGAGCCUGUGGUAUGUGGUGUCCCUUUGCAGAACCCCUUGGCAAGCAUUUUCCCAGAGUGAGUCACCUCUUCUCAGAGCACUGCGAGACAGGUUCGUGCAGCCCUCCUCUUGCAUGAAACCUUCUUGGAUUGCCUCUGGUGGUGGGCCUGAUGCCUCCCUGAUGAUCUAGAUGUGGUCCCUGUGGCUCUCUUCCCUUUCUUCCUCAUCUCUUAGUCCUGCCUCUCACUUGGUGAUCUCUGAGAAAAGCUCACAUUUGCACAAUCAUGUACAGUUGUAGUAAACAUGUGCAUGUGCAUUCUUACUUUCAAUCCCCACAACAACCCUAUGACCCAGGAAUAAGUUUAUACAAGAAAGCAAAGCCUGAAGAAAUUAAGCACCUAGCUCAUGGGGUGGGCUUAGAGCCAGGUGGAAAUCGAAUUCAAGCCCUCUGAGUCCCGCAAUAGCUGUAAAAACAAUAAGUUACACUUAGGUACAAUUCACUGUAGGCGAAGCACUGUUCCAUUAUCUCAUUAAAUCCUCACAGCUAAUGUAGGAGGUAGGUUGCUAUUAUUGGUUCCAUUUUAUGGUUAAGAAAACUGAGGCACAGUGAGGUUAAGUGAGCGUCCCAGGUUGUCACAGCUUGUUGGCUCUGGAGCCAGGAUUCAAACCCAGGCCAUCUGAUGCCAGACAUCAUGGGCAUAACCACCAUGCUACACUCCAAACCUGGUGAACCUACCAUUCCAACUUAUGGGGGACUCUGUUUCUCCAUCACCAACCAUUUAAUCCCUAAAGCCGGGAACAAAAGUCUCCCUGCCCUAGGCUGCGUGUUGUGAGUUAUUCACUACCAGUUGGCUCACAUUCCAGGCCUCCCAGGACUUAUCUCUUAACCCCACAGUC
This 1365-nucleotide long non-coding RNA is filed under the name Felis catus (domestic cat). Its description in RNAcentral is "lncRNA (ENSFCAG00000052407.1)". Lineage: Eukaryota; Metazoa; Chordata; Mammalia; Carnivora; Felidae. The record is from RNAcentral.